GGCUGGUCUGAAGGUAGUCAGUCAUCUCACUUGAUGGCUUGGUCAGUUACAGAUUGAACUCCUUGUUAUACUCUCCCCCUUCUCACUACUGCAUUUGACUAGUCUUAA
Molecule: unclassified non-coding RNA, 108 nt
Organism: Otolemur garnettii (small-eared galago)
Lineage: Eukaryota; Metazoa; Chordata; Mammalia; Primates; Galagidae
Rfam family: Y RNA
About the family: Y RNAs are components of the Ro ribonucleoprotein particle (Ro RNP), in association with Ro60 and La proteins. The Y RNAs and Ro60 and La proteins are well conserved, but the function of the Ro RNP is not known.
Source: Ensembl